AACCCAUGCUUCUAUUUCCUUCCUUAUGUGAUGAACGAAAAGAGAGGAUGUACCUCCUGGAGAUCAUGCAGAAGGAGCAAGAAAUAAUGGGAAAGAAGACAAAGAAGAAAGACUGCCAUCUGCAAGGUUCUGCUUUUACUUGAGAAUCUAAACUUAGGUGGUAAGAUAUAAGUGAAAUACGUGGAUGGGAAAAAGUUCUCUACUGGCGGCUAGUGGAUGCCCAUUGUAUAAAUACGUUAUAAUUAAGAGGCAUUUCCCAUCAUAAAAAGUUUACAGUGCAAAUAAUC
RNAcentral lists this long non-coding RNA (287 nucleotides) under Gallus gallus (chicken). RNAcentral describes it as "lncRNA (ENSGALG00010002915.1)". Lineage: Eukaryota; Metazoa; Chordata; Aves; Galliformes; Phasianidae. The record is from RNAcentral.